Molecule: ribosomal RNA, 440 nt
Filed under: uncultured bacterium
Lineage: Bacteria
Description: partial 16S ribosomal RNA
Rfam family: Bacterial small subunit ribosomal RNA
Source: RNAcentral
CCUACGGGCGGCAGCAGUGGGGGAUAUUGCACAAUGGGGGAAACCCUGAUGCAGCGACGCCGCGUGAGUGAAGAAGUAUUUCGGUAUGUAAAGCUCUAUCAGCAGGGAAGAAACUGACAGUACCCGACCAAGAAGCCCCGGCUAACUACGUGCCAGCAGCCGCGGUAAUACGUAGGGGGCAAGCGUUAUCCGGAUUUACUGGGUGUAAAGGGAUCGUAGGCGGUAAUGUAAGUCUGGAGUGAAAGGCCGGGGCCCAACCCCGGGACUGCUUUGGAAACUGGGUAACUGGAGUGCAGGAGGGGCAGGGGGAAUUCCUGGUGUAGCGGUGAAAUGCGUAGAUAUCAGGAGGAACAGCGGCGGCGAAGGCGGCCUGCUGGGCUGAAACUGACGUUGAGGAUCGAAAGCGUGGGGAGCAAACAGGAUUAGAUACCCGAGUAGUC